CGAAAGCCUGACGGAGCAAGACCGCGUGAGGGAGGAAGGCUCUAGGGUUGUAAACCUCUUUUAUCAGGGAAUAAGCAAUGAAGGUACCUGAGGAAUCAGCAUCGGCUAAUUCCGUGCCAGCAGCCGCGGUAAUACGGGAGUGGCAAGCGUUAUCCGGAAUUAUUGGGCGUAAAGCGUCCGCAGGCGGCCUUGUAAGUCUGUCGUUAAAGCGUGGAGCUUAACUCCAUUUGAGCGAUGGAAACUACAAGGCUUGAAUGUGGUAGGGGCAGAGGGAAUUCCCGGAGUAGCGGUGAAAUGCGUAGAUAUCGGGAAGAACACCAGUGGCGAAGGCGCUCUGCUGGGCCAUAACUGACGCUCAUGGACGAAAGCCAGGGGAGCG
Molecule: ribosomal RNA, 379 nt
Filed under: uncultured cyanobacterium
Lineage: Bacteria; Bacillati; Cyanobacteriota
Description: bacterial SSU rRNA
Rfam family: Bacterial small subunit ribosomal RNA
Source: RNAcentral